This 240-nucleotide long non-coding RNA is filed under the name Durio zibethinus. Its description in RNAcentral is "long non-coding RNA (DZIB_LNC000712)". The record is from RNAcentral. Lineage: Eukaryota; Viridiplantae; Streptophyta; Magnoliopsida; Malvales; Malvaceae.
UCCAGCAUUAGCCAUGGAAAGGACACCGGGUCCCGUGUGCUUCUUGAUGAAGUUCUCGUCGGCGAACUUGGCUCCAUAGAUGGAUUCACCUCCGGUGCCGUUUCCGGCGGUGAAGUCGCCUCCUUGGCACAUAAAAUUAGGGAUCACACGGUGGAAAGAAGAGCCUUUGUAGUGGAGGGGUUUGCCGCUACGGCCGACACCUUUCUCACCGGUGCAAAGGGCACGGAAGUUCUCGGCCGU